GGAGCAGCCCAGAGCCUGAAUCAGUGUGUGUGUUAGUGGAAGCGUCUGGAAAGGCGUGCGAUACAGGGUGACAGCCCCGUACACAAAAAUGCACAUAUUGUGAGCUUGAUGAGUAGGGCGGGACACGUGGUAUCCUGUCUGAAUAUGGGGGGACCAUCCUCCAAGGCUAAAUACUCCUGACUGACCGAUAGUGAACCAGUACCGUGAGGGAAAGGCGAAAAGAACCCCGGCGAGGGGAGUGAAAAAGAACCUGAAACCGUGUACGUACAAGCAGUGGGAGCACGCUUAGGCGUGUGACUGCGUACCUUUUGUAUAAUGGGUCAGCGACUUAUAUUCUGUAGCAAGGUUAACCGAAUAGGGGAGCCGAAGGGAAACCGAGUCUUAACUGGGCGUUAAGUUGCAGGGUAUAGACCCGAAACCCGGUGAUCUAGCCAUGGGCAGGUUGAAGGUUGGGUAACACUAACUGGAGGACCGAACCGACUAAUGUUGAAAAAUUAGCGGAUGACUUGUGGCUGGGGGUGAAAGGCCAAUCAAACCGGGAGAUAGCUGGUUCUCCCCGAAAGCUAUUUAGGUAGCGCCUCGUGAAUUCAUCUCCGGGGGUAGAGCACUGUUUCGGCAAGGGGGUCAUCCCGACUUAC
This 638-nucleotide ribosomal RNA is filed under the name Shigella sonnei. Its description in RNAcentral is "partial 23S ribosomal RNA". It matches the Rfam family "Bacterial large subunit ribosomal RNA", at positions 294 to 939 of the family's 2925-position model. Lineage: Bacteria; Pseudomonadati; Pseudomonadota; Gammaproteobacteria; Enterobacterales; Enterobacteriaceae. The record is from RNAcentral.